CAAGAUGAGAUUUCCCAACUUCGGUUAUAAGAUCCCUCAAAGAUGAUAAGGUUAAUAGGUUCGGGGUGUAAGCGCAGUAAUGUGUGUAGCUGACGAAUACUAAUCGAUCGAAGACUUAAUCAAAUUUUA
This 129-nucleotide ribosomal RNA is filed under the name Mammaliicoccus sciuri. Its description in RNAcentral is "Staphylococcus sciuri partial 23S ribosomal RNA". It matches the Rfam family "Bacterial large subunit ribosomal RNA", at positions 2800 to 2925 of the family's 2925-position model. The record is from RNAcentral. Lineage: Bacteria; Bacillati; Bacillota; Bacilli; Caryophanales; Staphylococcaceae.